This 86-nucleotide transfer RNA is filed under the name Deltaproteobacteria bacterium. RNAcentral describes it as "tRNA-Leu". It matches the Rfam family "tRNA". Rfam says of the family: Transfer RNA (tRNA) molecules are approximately 80 nucleotides in length. Their secondary structure includes four short double-helical elements and three loops (D, anti-codon, and T loops). The record is from RNAcentral. Lineage: Bacteria; Pseudomonadati; Myxococcota; Myxococcia.
GCCCAGAUGGCGGAAUUGGUAGACGCAAGGGACUUAAAAUCCCUCGAACUUUGUUCAUGCCGGUUCGAUUCCGGCUCUGGGCACCA